CGGGUUAACAUUGCCCCAGUAUUCCUCAGUCUGAGGGUGCUCCAAAGGAUCACCAUAUACCUCGGAAGUUGAGGUUAGCAAGAUCCUUGCUCCGACCCUCUUUGCAAGCCCCAGCAUGUUCAGUGUGCCAAUGACAUUUGUCUUUAUUGUCUUGACCGGAUUGUACUUAUAGAAAAUUGGCGACGCGGGGCAGGCAAGGUGAUAGAUCUGAUCG
This 214-nucleotide unclassified non-coding RNA is filed under the name Hevea brasiliensis (rubber tree). The record is from RNAcentral. Lineage: Eukaryota; Viridiplantae; Streptophyta; Magnoliopsida; Malpighiales; Euphorbiaceae.